UACAGAGGGUGCGAGCGUUAAUCGGAUUUACUGGGCGUAAAGCGUGCGUAGGCGGCCCGUUAAGACAGGUGUGAAAUCCCUGGGCUCAACCUAGGAAUUGCGCUUGUGACUGGCGGGCUCGAGUACGGUAGAGGGGGGUGGAAUUCCUGGUGUAGCAGUGAAAUGCGUAGAGAUCAGGAGGAACACCGAUGGCGAAGGCAGCCCCCUGGGCCUGUACUGACGCUCAUGCACGAAAGCGUGGGGAGCAAACAGG
This 253-nucleotide ribosomal RNA is filed under the name uncultured microorganism. RNAcentral describes it as "partial 16S ribosomal RNA". It matches the Rfam family "Bacterial small subunit ribosomal RNA", at positions 524 to 776 of the family's 1533-position model. The record is from RNAcentral.